UACGGAGGGAGCUAGCGUUGUUCGGAAUUACUGGGCGUAAAGCGCACGUAGGCGGCUUUUUAAGUCAGGGGUGAAAUCCUGGGGCUCAACCCCGGAACUGCCCUUGAAACUGGAGAGCUAGAAUCUUGGAGAGGCGAGUGGAAUUCCGAGUGUAGAGGUGAAAUUCGUAGAUAUUCGGAAGAACACCAGUGGCGAAGGCGGCUCACUGGCCCGGUACUGGCGCUGAGGUGCGAAAGCGUGGGGAGCAAACAGG
RNAcentral lists this ribosomal RNA (253 nucleotides) under uncultured bacterium. Its description in RNAcentral is "partial 16S ribosomal RNA". It matches the Rfam family "Bacterial small subunit ribosomal RNA", at positions 524 to 776 of the family's 1533-position model. The record is from RNAcentral.